UUUCCGUAGGUGAACCUGCGGAAGGAUCAUUAUGGUACAAAUUGUGAUGGGCAUGCUAGGACUGUCGCUGACCCAAGCGUCGUGCACGCCCGAGUGUGUUCUCUUGCCUAAUAUUCCCUCUCACCCUUUGUGCAUCACCGCGUGUGCACCCUUCUGGAUCAUAUCGGAGUAUGGCUCUCGUUUUUACACAAACCCCCCAUUUAAAAGUAUAUAAUGACGACAUUUAUGCAAUCAAUACAACUUUCAACAACGGAUCUCUUGGCUCUC
Molecule: unclassified non-coding RNA, 267 nt
Filed under: plant metagenome
Description: partial contains small subunit ribosomal RNA, internal transcribed spacer 1, and 5.8S ribosomal RNA
Source: RNAcentral